UAAAUCUACAUAUACAUUUUUGCAGCCAUUUUGUGAAAUAAAUGCUGAAGUUGGGACUUAUUUACAAUGCAUGCCACUGGCAUUUAUUAUUUAGUUAAAAAAAAUUAAAAAAUAUAUUAACCAAACUAUAUCUUGCCUAAUUUGUUUCUAAAAAUCUCUACACAAUAUUUUCAUAUAUC
RNAcentral lists this small RNA (179 nucleotides) under Arabidopsis thaliana (thale cress). Its description in RNAcentral is "ATSL263610". Lineage: Eukaryota; Viridiplantae; Streptophyta; Magnoliopsida; Brassicales; Brassicaceae. The record is from RNAcentral.